Molecule: ribosomal RNA, 491 nt
Filed under: uncultured bacterium
Lineage: Bacteria
Description: partial 16S ribosomal RNA
Rfam family: Bacterial small subunit ribosomal RNA
Source: RNAcentral
AGUGAACGCUGGCGGUAGGCCUAACACAUGCCAGUCGAACGGCAGCACAGUAAGAGCUUGCUCUUACGGGUGGCGAGUGGCGGACGGGUGAGGAAUACAUCGGAAUCUACUUUUUCGUGGGGGAUAACGUAGGGAAACUUACGCUAAUACCGCAUACGACCUACGGGUGAAAGCAGGGGAUCUUCGGACCUUGCGCGAUUGAAUGAGCCGAUGUCGGAUUAGCUAGUUGGCGGGGUAAAGGCCCACCAAGGCGACGAUCCGUAGCUGGUCUGAGAGGAUGAUCAGCCACACUGGAACUGAGACACGGUCCAGACUCCUACGGGAGGCAGCAGUGGGGAAUAUUGGACAAUGGGCGCAAGCCUGAUCCAGCCAUACCGCGUGGGUGAAGAAGGCCUUCGGGUUGUAAAGCCCUUUUGUUGGGAAAGAAAAGCAGCAGGUUAAUACCCCGCUGUUCGGACGGUACCCAAAGAAUAAGCACCGGCUAACUUCGU